RNAcentral lists this ribosomal RNA (226 nucleotides) under uncultured Flavobacterium sp. Its description in RNAcentral is "partial 16S ribosomal RNA". It matches the Rfam family "Bacterial small subunit ribosomal RNA", at positions 1 to 235 of the family's 1533-position model. Lineage: Bacteria; Pseudomonadati; Bacteroidota; Flavobacteriia; Flavobacteriales; Flavobacteriaceae. The record is from RNAcentral.
UCGAGAGUUUGAUCCUGGCUCAGGAUGAACGCUAGCGGCAGGCUUAACACAUGCAAGUCGAGGGGUAUAGUUCUUCGGAGCUAGAGACCGGCGCACGGGUGCGUAACGCGUAUGCAAUCUACCUUUACAGAGGGAUAGCCCAGAGAAAUUUGGAUUAAUACCUCAUAGUAUGUGAGAAUCGCAUGGUUUUACACAUUAAAGUUCCAACGGUAAAAGAUGAGCAUCG